RNAcentral lists this ribosomal RNA (497 nucleotides) under uncultured bacterium. RNAcentral describes it as "partial 16S ribosomal RNA". It matches the Rfam family "Bacterial small subunit ribosomal RNA", at positions 28 to 507 of the family's 1533-position model. The record is from RNAcentral.
GAUGAACGCUGGCGGCGUGCCUAAUACAUGCAAGUCGAGCGAACGGACGAGAAGCUUGCUUCUCUGAUGUUAGCGGCGGACGGGUGAGUAACACGUGGAUAACCUACCUAUAAGACUGGGAUAACUUCGGGAAACCGGAGCUAAUACCGGAUAAUAUUUUGAACCGCAUGGUUCAAAAGUGAAAGACGGUCUUGCUGUCACUUACAGAUGGAUCCGCGCUGCAUUAGCUAGUUGGUAAGGUAACGGCUUACCAAGGCAACGAUGCAUAGCCGACCUGAGAGGGUGAUCGGCCACACUGGAACUGAGACACGGUCCAGACUCCUACGGGAGGCAGCAGUAGGGAAUCUUCCGCAAAGGGCGAAAGCCUGACGGAGCAACGCCGCGUGAGUGAUGAAGGUCUUCGGAUCGUAAAACUCUGUUAUUAGGGAAGAACAUAUGUGUAAGUAACUGUGCACAUCUUGACGGUACCUAAUCAGAAAGCCACGGCUAACUACGUG